This is a long non-coding RNA of Cannabis sativa, 932 nucleotides long. RefSeq lists it as uncharacterized. The record is from RefSeq and is a predicted model, not a curated record. Lineage: Eukaryota; Viridiplantae; Streptophyta; Magnoliopsida; Rosales; Cannabaceae. The transcript is spliced from 2 exons.
AAACAAUUUUUGAUGGAAUAAAUUUCUUUCCUAUCCACAAUAAUAAUAAUAAUAUUAAUGGAUGUAUAUCCAUAUCCAGUCAAUUGUUUCCCGGAAACAUACACACCCAAUGGGGCCAAAAUAUAUUACUUCUCAAAAGUUGCAUAAUAAACAAAACAGAGAUCCCAAUGGUACAACAUGUAGGGCAAUUCCAAAGAAAGUGAGGAACAUUGAAACAAAAGAUUCUGAUAAUGAAUCAUAAGAAACAAUAGAGUCACCAUACAAGGACUAAAAAUCACAUAAUUUUAGGCAAGCAAAGACAUUCAAUCAACUCUUAGUGACUUUCCAAACAUAGCAGAACAACCAAGAACAGUGCAACAUUGAAAAAUGGCUCAUGUUGUUCUUCCAAAUAUCACAUCACUGUGUUUGAUAGCUUUUCAAGUGCUUUUGCAUUCGUCCAAUACCGCUGAAUACAAUAAUCCACAUACCACAUAUGCUACCAUAGAAGUACAUGACACUCAACUUUGCUAAUCCAAUGAAGUUAACAGAGGCAGAACCUGCUUCUAAGCACUAAAAUAAUGGACUGGGAACAGACAAGUAAGGUCAGUCUUGUUGCCAACAGCAAGAGUGUUGUUGCACAAGUUUUUGUUCAAUUCCCACUGUAAUUUUGUUAAUAUGAACAUAGUUGGUGAUCUCGUGGGCAUUAUAUACUUCCCUACCGAACUAAAUAGUCAGUUGUGAGAUGAAGAAUGAAAGAAGCAUAACUGAGAAAGAGAAGGGAGAUGUCCAGUUGACAAUGAGGAAGAAAUUCAUUAAAAAGUUAUACUUAAGUAAAACAAUUACAAUGUGAUAGAUAAAGAUUUUUUGUUUCAAAUUACUUUUAGUUACUUAAUUGCACUUAUAAUUGAAAGUUUAUUUGAUUAUGAAAGAUUGUUAUUUAAAUUUGUCUUGAA